Molecule: transfer RNA, 75 nt
Filed under: Mesorhizobium sp.
Lineage: Bacteria; Pseudomonadati; Pseudomonadota; Alphaproteobacteria; Hyphomicrobiales; Phyllobacteriaceae
Description: tRNA-Thr
Rfam family: tRNA
About the family: Transfer RNA (tRNA) molecules are approximately 80 nucleotides in length. Their secondary structure includes four short double-helical elements and three loops (D, anti-codon, and T loops).
Source: RNAcentral
GCUGCGGUAGCUCAGUGGUAGAGCACUCCCUUGGUAAGGGUGAGGUCGAGAGUUCAAUCCUCUCUCGCAGCACCA